Molecule: ribosomal RNA, 565 nt
Filed under: uncultured bacterium
Lineage: Bacteria
Description: bacterial SSU rRNA
Rfam family: Bacterial small subunit ribosomal RNA
Source: RNAcentral
AAUAGAUACCCGGGUAGUCCACGCCGUAAACGAUGAGUGCUAAGUGUUAGGGGGUUUCCGCCCCUUAGUGCUGCAGCUAACGCAUUAAGCACUCCGCCUGGGGAGUACGGUCGCAAGACUGAAACUCAAAGGAAUUGACGGGGGCCCGCACAAGCGGUGGAGCAUGUGGUUUAAUUCGAAGCAACGCGAAGAACCUUACCAGGUCUUGACAUCCCAUUGACCACUAUGGAGACAUAGUUUUCCCUUCGGGGACAACGGUGACAGGUGGUGCAUGGUUGUCGUCAGCUCGUGUCGUGAGAUGUUGGGUUAAGUCCCGCAACGAGCGCAACCCUUGUUCUUAGUUGCCAUCAUUUAGUUGGGCACUCUAAGGAGACUGCCGGUGACAAACCGGAGGAAGGUGGGGAUGACGUCAAAUCAUCAUGCCCCUUAUGACCUGGGCUACACACGUGCUACAAUGGACGGUACAAACGGUUGCCAACCCGCGAGGGGGAGCUAAUCCGAUAAAACCGUUCUCAGUUCGGAUUGUAGGCUGCAAACCCGUCCGUACCUACUAGUAGACGGAACG